UCUCUCUCUCUCUCUCUCUCUCUCUCUCACUCUCACUCUCACUCCUUGGCGUGGAUCCUUUUUUCCCCCUUGGAACCGGCUCUUUUGAUUUUAUCUCGCGCAUCCACAGUAAAACAAACCCCACUCCCACGUUAGCAUUAGCAGGUAAAAGAUAGCAGCUGGGCCCCUUGACCCUUCUCCCGUCUCUCUCUUUCUCCGGCGUCUAUCUAUAUAUUAUUCCCCACCCCCUUCUUCCUUCGCUGCAGUGGUUCACAUUCGCGCCACCAGCCUCAGCUUUCCUGAAGGCAAGAAAAAGACUGAACUAAGAAGAGGAGAGAGAACAAAGGACAGGGGGCCAGGGUGGGAGGGUGCAGGGCGCCUUCAUGUAGAUUUUGGCUACUGUUUUCCGACAAUAAAAAAAAUGACAUCUGGUGUACAGCUUAGUUCUUUUUUCCCCAUGGGCAAGUGGUCUGAACCUUACCUCUAUUUCCUAUAAUUACAAGAGCAACUAAAG
Molecule: long non-coding RNA, 493 nt
Filed under: Phoenix dactylifera (date palm)
Lineage: Eukaryota; Viridiplantae; Streptophyta; Magnoliopsida; Arecales; Arecaceae
Description: long non-coding RNA (PDAC_LNC018190)
Source: RNAcentral